This 32-nucleotide ribosomal RNA is filed under the name Sporobolus indicus var. pyramidalis. Its description in RNAcentral is "partial 28S ribosomal RNA". Lineage: Eukaryota; Viridiplantae; Streptophyta; Magnoliopsida; Poales; Poaceae. RNAcentral also lists the same sequence under 1 other name. The record is from RNAcentral.
AUGACCCCAGGUCAGUCGGGACUACCCGCUGA